GUGGGGAAUCUUGGACAAUGGGCGCAAGCCUGAUCCAGCCAUGCCGCGUGAGUGAAGAAGGCCCUAGGGUUGUAAAGCUCUUUCGGCGGGGACGAUAAUGACGGUACCCGCAGAAGAAGCCCCGGCUAACUCCGUGCCAGCAGCCGCGGUAAUACGGAGGGGGCUAGCGUUGUUCGGAAUUACUGGGCGUAAAGCGCACGUAGGCGGACUGUUAAGUCGGGGGUGAAAUCCUGGGGCUCAACCUCAGAAUUGCCUCCGAUACUGGCAGUCUCGAGUGCGGGAGAGGUGAGUGGAAUUCCCAGUGUAGAGGUGAAAUUCGUAGAUAUUGGGAAGAACACCAGUGGCGAAGGCGGCUCACUGGCCCGUAACUGACGCUGAGGUGCGAAAGCGUGGGGAGCAAACAGGAUUAGAAACCCCAGUAGUCC
This 425-nucleotide ribosomal RNA is filed under the name uncultured bacterium. Its description in RNAcentral is "bacterial SSU rRNA". It matches the Rfam family "Bacterial small subunit ribosomal RNA", at positions 354 to 796 of the family's 1533-position model. The record is from RNAcentral.